Molecule: transfer RNA, 73 nt
Filed under: Trichonephila inaurata madagascariensis
Lineage: Eukaryota; Metazoa; Arthropoda; Arachnida; Araneae; Nephilidae
Rfam family: tRNA
About the family: Transfer RNA (tRNA) molecules are approximately 80 nucleotides in length. Their secondary structure includes four short double-helical elements and three loops (D, anti-codon, and T loops). Further hydrogen bonds mediate the characteristic L-shaped molecular structure. tRNAs have two regions of fundamental functional importance: the anti-codon, which is responsible for specific mRNA codon recognition, and the 3' end, to which the tRNAs corresponding amino acid is attached (by aminoacyl-tRNA synthetases). tRNAs cope with the degeneracy of the genetic code in two manners: having more than one tRNA (with a specific anti-codon) for a particular amino acid; and 'wobble' base-pairing, i.e. permitting non-standard base-pairing at the 3rd anti-codon position.
Source: Rfam by way of RNAcentral
GUCCCUGUAGCGCAAUGGAUAGUGCUUUGGACUUCGAAUCCAAAGGCCGUGGGUUCGAAUCCCACCUAGGAUG